UGGGGAAUAUUGCACAAUGGGCGCAAGCCUGAUGCAGCCAUGCCGCGUUUAUGAAGAAGGCCUUCGGGUUGUAAAGUACUUUCAGUCGGGAGGAAGGUGUCAAGGUUACUAACCUUGGCAAUUGACGUUACCGACAGAAGAAGCACCGGCUAACUCCGUGCCAGCAGCCGCGGUAAUACGGAGGGUGCAAGCGUUAAUCGGAAUUACUGGGCGUAAAGCGCACGCAGGCGGUUGAUUGAGUCAGAUGUGAAAUCCCCGGGCUUAACCCGGGAAUUGCAUCUGAUACUGGUCAGCUAGAGUCUUGUAGAGGAGGGUAGAAUUCCAUGUGUAGCGGUGAAAUGCGUAGAGAUGUGGAGGAAUACCGGUGGCGAAGGCGGCCCCCUGGACAAAGACUGACGCUCAGGUGCGAAGGCGUGGGGAGCAAACAGG
RNAcentral lists this ribosomal RNA (429 nucleotides) under Chloroflexota bacterium. RNAcentral's name for it is "Chloroflexi bacterium partial 16S ribosomal RNA". It matches the Rfam family "Bacterial small subunit ribosomal RNA", at positions 355 to 776 of the family's 1533-position model. Lineage: Bacteria; Bacillati; Chloroflexota. The record is from RNAcentral.